GGGGCAGCAUGCGUGGUAGCUUGCUACCAGGUGAUGGCCGACCGGCGCACGGGUGAGUAACGCGUAUCCAACCUUCCCCAUGACCAGGGAAUAACCUUGCGAAAGUAAGACUAAUGCCCUAUGGUUUCCUCAGCGGACAUCCAAAGAGGAAUAAAGAUUCAUCGGUGAUGGAUGGGGAUGCGUCUGAUUAGGUUGUUGGCGGGGUAACGGCCCACCAAGCCAUCGAUCAGUAGGGGUUCUGAGAGGAAGGUCCCCCACAUUGGAACUGAGACACGGUCCAAACUCCUACGGGAGGCAGCAGUGAGGAAUAUUGGUCAAUGGGCGAGAGCCUGAACCAGCCAAGUAGCGUGCAGGACGACGGCCCUAUGGGUUGUAAACUGCUUUUAUACGGGAAUAAAGUGGGCCACGCGUGGUCUUUUGCAUGUACCGUAUGAAUAAGGACCGGCUAAUUCCGUG
RNAcentral lists this ribosomal RNA (456 nucleotides) under uncultured bacterium. Its description in RNAcentral is "bacterial SSU rRNA". It matches the Rfam family "Bacterial small subunit ribosomal RNA", at positions 64 to 507 of the family's 1533-position model. The record is from RNAcentral.